Molecule: non-coding RNA, 245 nt
Organism: Pelobates cultripes (western spadefoot toad)
Lineage: Eukaryota; Metazoa; Chordata; Amphibia; Anura; Pelobatidae
Source: the annotation of a GenBank genome assembly
CCCAUGUUCACAUAAUAUACUGUGUUCCAGGCUGCAAUCAAUCCCACAGAAAGAUUACAGCCAAUGCUACAUUCAACAUUAUAGUCAGUGCUAUGGGACAAGUCUACAAUCGGAUCCUCAGUCAAGAUGACAGUCAUUGCUACAUUGAAAACUACAAAUACAGAUUUUUGAAUAUUCUGAUAACUAGAACCAAGCUUUCAACUACACCUGAAAAGUGUUUAAUACCACGGUAAUAAUGUUGUGAG